Molecule: long non-coding RNA, 1108 nt
Organism: Plodia interpunctella (Indianmeal moth)
Lineage: Eukaryota; Metazoa; Arthropoda; Insecta; Lepidoptera; Pyralidae
Exons: 5
Source: RefSeq, a predicted model, not a curated record
AAUUUUAUUUAUUUUUUUACUUAAAUGCUACACGACAAAAUGACAAUACAAAUGGCAAUACAUUUGUAUUGUCAUUUUGUCGUGUUGUUCAUUUGUCUAUUCUAAUGUUUAUCAAAUAAAACUUACUUAUAACAGUUCAAGUAGGUUGUAGUUAUUACGUAAGUAAUAAUAAAUAGUGCUUGUUGUAAUUUAUUACACAGCACGUAUACCUCUAAUGGUUAAUGUAAUAUAUACUAGAAAGUUGUCAGUGAAAUUGUAUAAAUUGUGCCAAGAAAUUAGUAAUUCUUGUCAGGAAAUAACAAAAUCUAGCUAUGUAAUGAAAAUAAACUGGAUCAUGUGCGGCAUAGUGCUAAUCAUACUAUUGAAUUUGAUACCUGAACUUAUAAAUGUUAUUUAUAACUGUUACAACUGGAAAACUGGAAUGGAAUGGAUUUUUAUGUUAGUGGAAGUUUAUCGAAAAAUGAUUCGCCCGUUAAUUUGGGACUUAGAUUUGAUGCUGUGGAUACAUUUUUGUAACAUACUUAGAAUGAACGUACAGUCCAUCAACAAUCUUUUGGGUGAAAAAUACCUUAAGAAGGCAAUUGGAAAAACUUGUAAAACCAAAUGCUCAAUUAUCGUCGCUGAAAAAAAUUCAGAGCCAGAGAAAGAAACAUUAAAAAAAUGUAUUUAUGUUUUCGAAAGAACUAAUUAUGCUUUCACUUUAUUGAAGCGAAUUCAUAAAUAUUCGAUUUUCACAUUUUGCGCAAAAACUUUUAUUAUAGGCUUAUUUCGUUUCAGGGAAAUAUUGCUUAAUAUAUUAAGUGACAGUAAAAUAAUUUCACACGGAAUUGAUUGGGAGUUAAUUUUGUUUAAAAAUGUUAGGAACCUUUUUAUUAUAGCACUGCUAAGUACAACUGCGGAGUUGUAUUGUAAAGAGUUGGACGAUACACGUAAAAUUGCUUCGCAAAUAAUGGACUACACUAAGGAAAAAACCCAAGUAUACGAUGUUGUGAAAACAAUACUAUGGUUAAUUGAAGAAACGCCGCCGGAUUUUGUGUUCUUCGGGUUCUUUAAGCUCGACGGCACAUUGCCUUUUAAAUAUAUAACUCAGUAUUUAACUUACGCGGUA